Molecule: ribosomal RNA, 253 nt
Filed under: uncultured bacterium
Lineage: Bacteria
Description: partial 16S ribosomal RNA
Rfam family: Bacterial small subunit ribosomal RNA
Source: RNAcentral
UACGGGGGGGGCAAGCGUUGUUCGGAAUUACUGGGCGUAAAGGGCUCGUAGGCGGCCAACUAAGUCAGACGUGAAAUCCCCGGGCUUAACCUGGGAAUUGCAUUUGUGACUGUACGGCUAGAGUGUGUCAGAGGGGGGUAGAAUUCCACGUGUAGCAGUGAAAUGCGUAGAGAUGUGGAGGAAUACCGAUGGCGAAGGCAGCCCCCUGGGAUAACACUGACGCUCAUGCACGAAAGCGUGGGGAGCAAACAGG